UCACAUUCGUGCUAUAUGGCACACAGUUGAUUUAUAUUAUUUUCUAGUUCAUAAGUCUGUUGAGUGCCAUAGAGCAAGAAGUGUGAU
This 87-nucleotide microRNA precursor is filed under the name Drosophila pseudoobscura. RNAcentral's name for it is "microRNA dps-mir-2511 precursor (dps-mir-2511-2)". It matches the Rfam family "mir-2511 microRNA precursor family". Lineage: Eukaryota; Metazoa; Arthropoda; Insecta; Diptera; Drosophilidae. RNAcentral also lists the same sequence under 1 other name. The record is from miRBase by way of RNAcentral.